GAUGAAGAACGCAGCAAAAUGCGAUAAGUAAUGUGAAUUGCAGAAUUCAGUGAAUCAUCGAAUCUUUGAACGCACAUUGCGCCCCUUGGUAUUCCGAGGGGCAUGCCUAUUCGAGCGUCAUUAUCACCCCUCAAGCCUAGCUUGGUGUUGAGGCCUGCUGUCAAGGCAGCCUCUAAAAUCAGUGGCAGUGCUGUCAGGCUCUAAGCGUAGUAAAUCUAAUCGCUAUAGACACCUGGUGGACACUCGCCAGAACCCCCCCAUUUUUUAAUGAUUGACCUCGGAUUAGGUAGGGAUACCCGCUGAACUUAAGCAUAUCAAUAAGCGGAGGA
This 329-nucleotide unclassified non-coding RNA is filed under the name soil metagenome. RNAcentral's name for it is "partial contains 5.8S ribosomal RNA, internal transcribed spacer 2, and large subunit ribosomal RNA". The stretch from base 1 to 120 matches the Rfam family "5.8S ribosomal RNA", at positions 35 to 154 of the family's 154-position model. The record is from RNAcentral.